UACGGGGGGUGCGAGCGUUGUCCGGAAUCACUGGGCGUAAAGGGCGCGUAGGUGGUUUGAUAAGGGUGUGGUGAAAGUCCGGGGCUCAACCCCGGAUCUGCCGUGCCGACUGUCAAACUCGAGGGCUGUAGAGGCAGAUGGAAUUCCGGGUGUAGCGGUGGAAUGCGUAGAGAUCCGGAAGAACACCGGUGGCGAAGGCGGUCUGCUGGGGUGAGGCUGACGCUGAUGCGCGACAGCGUGGGGAGCAAACAGG
RNAcentral lists this ribosomal RNA (253 nucleotides) under uncultured bacterium. RNAcentral's name for it is "partial 16S ribosomal RNA". It matches the Rfam family "Bacterial small subunit ribosomal RNA", at positions 524 to 776 of the family's 1533-position model. The record is from RNAcentral.